AACGAACGCUGGCGGCAGGCCUAACACAUGCAAGUCGAGCGCCCUGCUUGCAGGGAGCGGCGGACGGGUGAGUAACGCGUGGGAACGUGCCCUUUAGUUCAGAAUAGCCACUGGAAACGGUGAGUAAUACUGGAUACGCCCUUCGGGGGAAAGAUUUAUCGCUAAAGGAUCGGCCCGCGUUGGAUUAGCUAGUUGGUGGGGUAAAGGCCUACCAAGCCUACGAUCUAUAGCUGGUUUUAGAGGAUGAUCAGCAACACUGGGACUGAGACACGGCCCAGACUCCUACGGGAGGCAGCAGUGGGGAAUCUUAGACAAUGGGGGCAACCCUGAUCUAGCCAUGCCGCGUGAGUGAUGAAGGCCUUAGGGUCGUAAAGCUCUUUCGCCUGUGAUGAUAAUGACAGUAGCAGGUAAAGAAACCCCGGCUAACUCCGUG
Molecule: ribosomal RNA, 433 nt
Filed under: uncultured bacterium
Lineage: Bacteria
Description: bacterial SSU rRNA
Rfam family: Bacterial small subunit ribosomal RNA
Source: RNAcentral